RNAcentral lists this ribosomal RNA (519 nucleotides) under Solenoptera thomae. RNAcentral describes it as "partial 16S ribosomal RNA". Lineage: Eukaryota; Metazoa; Arthropoda; Insecta; Coleoptera; Cerambycidae. The record is from RNAcentral.
UAAUAUAUGUUAUAUAAAUUAAUUGUUCUCGAACUUAGAAGAGCUAAUUAAUUAUUUAUUUUAUUGUGGAAUAAAUAUUUAUAAUGGUUAGUUGGCAAUGAAAUGUUAUUCGUUUCUAAAUAUAUCUAGUUUUUUAGGAAAUAGAUUUAAUCUACUUAAUUUUUUUUUAAUUUGCUUAUUUUUUAGUAAUUUGAUUUGAUUAGGGCAUACCUUAAGGGAUGAGCUUUAAGGUAAAAUUUUAUAAUUUAUUUGUUUUUUAUUAAUAAUAGGAUUAGAAUUUUCCAUUUUUAAGAGGAUGUUAUAGUCAAUUUUGAUUAAUUUAAUAUUUUUAUUUAAUUUAGAUUUUUUACUAAAAUGUGUUUUUUAAUUUAAAAUGAUUAGUAAUAAUGAUAGAAUUAGUAUAAAAAAUUGUAUUUUUACAGUAUUUAUUUUAGGUUAGUAAAAGGAACUCGGCAAUUUAUUUUUCACCUGUUUAUUAAAAACAUGGCCUUUUGAUUAUUAUUAAGGUCUGGCCUGCCC